UAAUUUGGCAUUAAAAUUCCUAUUCCCUAGUGCAAACGUCAAAGGCUGAUGAUCAGUAUAGAUCCUGAUUUUCUUUGCCCCGUAUAAGUAAUUUCUGAGAUUAUCAAGGGCCCAUACAAUGGCCAGCAUCUCUUUCUCGUUCGUGGCAUAGUUUUCCUCAGUUUUAUUGAGAGACCGAGAUAUGUAUGCUAUGGGUUUAUCCUUUCCCACUUCGCCUUGUGACAGAACGGCACCUAACGCGGUAUUAGAGGCAUCCGUUGUUAAGUUAAAAGGCUUCUCAAAGUCAGGGAAAGAUAGUAGCUCUGCUGUAGUUAACAUAGAUUUCAGUCUAUCGAAAGACUUUAAGGACUCGUUAUUUACAGCCUGUUCCACGAUAUCGAAAGAACACGUUCGCAAAACUUUUACACGACAAACAGCUGAUUUCCGUUCCACUAAAAUCCAUCAGAACGAAAAUUUGCACGAAAAUCAAAGCGAACGAAAACGUAAGCAUUUCAGUGUAAUUUUGCGUUCCACUAUCUUUUUUCUUUCGUACGCAUGCGAACACAAAUGUCAAAAUCAGUCACUUGUGUGUUUGCUGUCGAAUGAUAAAAAUUAGUGAAAAUUGUUUUAACAUAAACAUUCCUUGAUUGAAAAUGGAAAGAAAAAUCACGAAAAAACUACACAGCUGCGGGCACUAGUUGAGUAUAUGGAGGAGAAUCCUAAGUUCGCCAGAGGAGUGCCAAUCCCUUGAAGACCACUGGAAGACACAAACCUAGAAAAAUUCAUUUUUUAUUAUUUCAAAAAUGUAAAAAUACAAUCAUACUUACUGGUUGUUAGGUACUUCAAAUAAAUUCGAAGCAUCUCUUAAA
Molecule: long non-coding RNA, 848 nt
Organism: Musca domestica (house fly)
Lineage: Eukaryota; Metazoa; Arthropoda; Insecta; Diptera; Muscidae
Exons: 2
Source: RefSeq, a predicted model, not a curated record